Long non-coding RNA from Solanum dulcamara, 1179 nucleotides. RefSeq lists it as uncharacterized. Lineage: Eukaryota; Viridiplantae; Streptophyta; Magnoliopsida; Solanales; Solanaceae. The record is from RefSeq and is a predicted model, not a curated record. The transcript is spliced from 2 exons.
UGCGCCAAAUAAUUUUUCCACUUCUCUCCCGAAUUCUUAGCCCACUUGAGUUAACCCACCUCUUCCUAGGUUUUAUUUUCCUUUGCCCAAAUCAAUAUGUGAGCUUUUUCAUUGCUGCAUUAAGCAUUCUUUUGCUACUAUAAAGGAAAAGAAAUUUUGUCGGAUGCCAAGCUAGUAAUUUUGUUAAGAGUGUUCAAAGGUAUGUUUCUCAAUUUUCGCCCUUCUAUAUGAGAAAUCUAUUUAAACUAAAUUUUUACCACAAAUUAUUUUUCUUAUGAUGCUUAUGAGCAGGGAAAGGUGAACCUCUAUGGCCAUGUGAUCAUGUAUAGUUGUUGAUUUUCAUGAAUUUUUAAAUUAAUUAUCUAAGUUUUAAAGAUAACCAAAGAUUGUAAGCUUAUUUUUUGGUCUCAUUCUUUUUAUCUAUUCUGUAUAGCAUCAGCUACUCUCUGUAAGCUAGUUUUGUCACAGUGGAUUUCACCUUUCAAUGUUUAAGAUAAUCCCUCCUUACCAUUUUAAUUGAUGUGGGUUGACUUUUAAGUUUUGAAUGGAUAAUUAUAUUGGAUUGUGAGAACUUGUAAAAUAGAUACGAGAUUAAAUUAAUUUUUGAAAUAAUAUGAAGUAGCAUUUUUUUGGUCACCCAAGAUUAUGAUCUAGUGGUUAAUGAAUUGUGAUGAGGACAACAAGAUCUCGAGUUCAAAUGUGGAAGCUCUCUCCUUUCCCUAGUGGGAUAAGAACAAUGAGAUAUCGGGUUCAAACGCGGAUACUCCUUUCUUUGCCUAAACCUUCAGGAUAGAAUUACCUAAUAUCUGCAUUGGUGGGACGUAACAUGUAUUAUGAAGAAUAGCAAUUCGUCUUUUUGACUUUCUUCACAUACUGCUCUUCACAUUUUUCCCAUUUUUUUAUUAUUGCUACUGUUCAUCUUUUUACAGAUCUCAGUAAAAUGAGCUAAGCACUUGGUCUUUCAAUUUCUAAUUAUAAGUUUUCUGAAAUUUUUGCUCAAUUGGGUAAGUUUUCUACUUACUAUCUUACUCUCUUGUGUUUCAGUUUUCAACUUUUCUUUGUAGUUGUUGUUUUUCAAAUUCAUGGGAGUUUCUCUUUCUCUCUCUCGUGUAAUUGCUAUGUUUAAAUGUGCAAUAGUGAUAUACCCCAUAUAUGUACUAUCUGAGAGAUUUCAUUGAA